This 300-nucleotide ribosomal RNA is filed under the name uncultured Fusobacterium FS1. Its description in RNAcentral is "bacterial SSU rRNA". It matches the Rfam family "Bacterial small subunit ribosomal RNA", at positions 30 to 341 of the family's 1533-position model. The record is from RNAcentral. Lineage: Bacteria; Fusobacteriati; Fusobacteriota; Fusobacteriia; Fusobacteriales; Fusobacteriaceae.
UGAACGCUGACAGAAUGCUUAACACAUGCAAGUCUACUUGAACUUCGGUUUGGGUGGCGGACGGGUGAGUAACGCGUAAAGAACUUGCCUCACAGUUAGGGACAACAUUUGGAAACGAAUGCUAAUACCUGAUAUUAUGAUUUUAGGGCAUCCUAAGAUUAUGAAAGCUAUAUGCGCUGUGAGAGAGCUUUGCGUCCCAUUAGCUAGUUGGAGAGGUAACGGCUCACCAAGGCGAUGAUGGGUAGCCGGCCUGAGAGGGUGAACGGCCACAAGGGGACUGAGACACGGCCCUUACUCCUA